GCGUGGCGCGCAGGUGCUGGCUCCGGGCGGCGCGGGGCGAGGGCGGCCCGCUUGCCAUGACCGGCGGGCCCUAUGCGGAGCGCGGGGCGCUGUGCAGGACCGCGGCGGGGCGGCGGUUCCCAGGGGGCCAGGGCUUUCCCGAAGGAGCUGGCGGGGGGCACCCGGCCCGUCCCGAGCCGCAGCGCACGGGCAGCCGCCGCCGCUGUCACCGGCAUGUCCGCGGGACGGCUCCUGCCUGCGCGCCCGGGAGGCUCCCUGCAAGGCUCGCCCCGGCGGCAGGAGCCCUGACGGAGGCGGCGAAGCUCGGCCGGGUUUGAAAGUUUGCCAGGCACCCGCUAGUUUGAAUCGCUGUCAGGAGCCGCGGGGCGGCGGGGGGCCGUUCCCCAGCAUGGGAGACCGGCGGCCGGAGACUCACGCCAGCUCUUCCCCUGCCGUGGCUGCCAGCUCCGAGGCGGAAGAAAUAGAGGUUUUGGAGUCGGAGGAUGUCUUGCCUAUGGCCACGGAGGAUCACUGGAAAGCUCUGUUUGAUCAGUUUGACCCCGAGAGCACUGGCUACAUCAGCACUGAGAAAUUCCGAAACCUCCUCCAAAGACACGGCUCUGAGCUGGACCCACACAAACUGGAGGUUCUCUUGGCCUUGGCAGACAAUAAUUCAGAUGGGAAGAUCUGUUACCAGGACUUCGUCAACCUGAUGAGCAACAAAAGGUCCAAUAGCUUCCGCCAAGCCAUUCUGCAGGGGAACAGGAGGCUGUGCAGCAAGGCACUGCUGGAGGAGUCGGGACUAAGCCUGUCUCAGAGGCUAAUUCGACACGUUGCUUAUGAGACCCUGCCACGCGAGAUAGACCGGAAGUGGUACUACGAUAGUUACACCUGCUGUCCUCCGCCCUGGUUCAUGAUUGCCAUCACCAUUGUAGAGGUUGCCUUUUUUCUUUACAACGGAGUGGUAUUAGACAGAUUUGUGCUGCAAGUCACCCAUCCUUUAUACCUGAAGAACUCAUUAGUGUAUCAUCCUCAGCUCCGUGCUCAGGCUUGGAGGUACCUAACCUACAUAUUCAUGCAUGCCGGGAUAGAACACCUUGGACUCAAUAUUGCUCUUCAGCUUCUGGUUGGGGUUCCUCUUGAAAUGGUGCAUGGAGCAGCAAGGAUUGGCUUUGUCUACAUUGCUGGAGUUGUAGCAGGUUCCCUGGCCGUAUCGGUAGCUGACAUGACUGCGCCAGUGGUGGGUUCCUCUGGAGGGGUUUAUGCGCUCAUUUCUGCUCAUCUGGCCAACAUAGUAAUGAACUGGUCUGGAAUGAAGUGCCAAUUCAAGCUGCUGCGCAUGGCUCUUGCGUUGAUCUGUAUGAGCUUUGAAUUUGGAAGGGCUGUGUGGCUGCGGUUCCAUCCAUCUGCUUACCCCCCAUGUCCACACCCAAGCUUCGUUGCCCACCUGGGCGGGGUAUUGGUUGGAAUCACAUUGGGUGUGGUCAUCCUAAGGAACUAUGAGCAGAGACUCCAAGACCAGUCCUUAUGGUGGAUCUUUAUUUUUAUUUACGUCGUCUUUGUAUUGUUCGCCGUCUUUUGGAAUGUUUUUGCCUACAAUCUGUUGGAUCUGAAGCUACCUCCACCUCCGUGAGAGCCUGGGACAGAGAACUCUGGAGGGCAAAAGACUUUUCCAUCUGCCAGCUAUGUUAAAUGAAUCGAAACCAAGGAUUUAUUUUUAUAUGACGAUUAGGGGAUAAGUAAAUGGUCUUCUGAAAAUGCACAAGUUAAGGAAACGUGUGGCAUCAUUUCUGGCUAACUGUACUGUAUGCUGAUGAAGAUGAUUUAAGCUAAAAUCUAACAGUAGAACUGAUCUGAGAGAAGUUUGGGCAUGAGUCAUACAGAUGAUGCCAGUGCUGAUGCUGAAGGCUGUGUCCUCCUCCCAAGUGUUAACUCAGUGAUGUUCUUCAUGUCAUUUUAAUCCCUGCUGUUUGGAUAAAACACUCUCCAUGGUGAAAGCCUGACUCCACUAAACUCAAUGGCAAAGCUCCCAUCGACUUCACUGCGGUCAGGGUUUCACCCCAUCUGUUUUUAGGGUAUUAAAUUAGCCUUAUCUGCAAAGGAAACUUUUAUUUCCCCUUCUUCAUGCGCAAUAUAUGAAAGUUUUGAAGGCUAUUGCAAUAGCAACAAAAUUGUUCCCCUUAGUCUGAAGCAUGGUUCAUAGGACGCCACUUCAAGGAAGCCUUGUAAUAGGAAAGCAUAAGGCCUAUCGUUUGAGAGCACUUGUGGGUUUCUUUGGUAUGGGUCCAAUUCCAAGUUCCAUUUUAUCCCUGGAGUUCGGAGCCAGCUCUAAACAAUCACAUGUGCAAGAGUUUGGAUCCAUUGUUCCAGGUCAGAGAUCAUUCUAGGUGUUUCAUAGUGAGAGAUGCAGUGUAGUUAUAGCUGUGUCAGUCGCAGGAUAUUAGGGAGGCAAGGUGAGUGAGAUAAAUAAAAGAUUGCCUCACUCAUCUUGUGUCAUAAUGAUAGAGACAGCAUCCUUGAGUGGGUGGGAGAGCAGGGAGAGAGGAAUAACUAGAGAUUAGAUAAUUAGUUGCUAAAAACAUUGUUCAGAUUGAAGGAGGAGGACAUCUCUGUUUCAAUCCCCUUCUCUGGAUAUUGCUAAAUCAUACCUUUUACAAAUGCCUUUAAACUAGAGCUGGUCAGAAAAUGGAGUUUUCCACAUGGAAUAUUGUGAUAAAAAUGAAAAAAAAAAUUCAUUGACGUUUUCAGCAGAAAAAAUGACUUUUCAUCAACAAAACAAAAAACAAUUUUUAGUCCAAACUUCCAAAAAAACAGAUUUUUUUUGUCCAAAAACU
Mauremys mutica (yellowpond turtle) is the source of this 2813-nucleotide RNA transcript. It is a transcript of the gene named rhomboid like 3, with no coding region annotated. The transcript is spliced from 10 exons. Lineage: Eukaryota; Metazoa; Chordata; Testudines; Geoemydidae. The record is from RefSeq and is a predicted model, not a curated record.